This 329-nucleotide ribosomal RNA is filed under the name uncultured eukaryote. Its description in RNAcentral is "partial 18S ribosomal RNA". It matches the Rfam family "Eukaryotic small subunit ribosomal RNA", at positions 1470 to 1796 of the family's 1831-position model. The record is from RNAcentral.
CCCUUAGAUGUUCUGGGCCGCGCGCGCGCUACACUGACGGAGGCAGCGAGCGUGUCCUUCGCCGGCAGGUGCGGGCAAUCUUGCGAGUCUCCGUCGUGCUGGGGAUAGAUGGUUGCAAUUGUCGAUCUUGAACGAGGAAUUCCUAGUAAGCGCGAGUCAUCAGCUCGCGCUGAUUACGUCCCUGCCCUUUGUACACACCGCCCGUCGCUACUACAGAGUGCCCGUGUCCAAGAAACGGUCGGACCUGUGCGGCCUCUCCGGGCGACCGGAGGGCCGUUACGGGGAAGACCCUUUAUUUGACGCGGGUCGAUGAAGUAAAAGUCGUAACA